GACGAACGCUGGCGGCGUGCUUAACACAUGCAAGUCGAACGGAAAGGCCUGCUUUCCCUUGUGGAUUGCGGGUGCUCGAGUGGCGAACGGGUGAGUAACACGUGAGUGAUCUGCCCCCAACUUGGGUAUAAGCCUGGGAAACUGGGUCUAAUUCCCGAUAGGACUGCAGGGUGGUGCCUGUGGUGGAAAACGAUUUUCUAGUGGUUGGGGAUGAGCUCGCGGCCUAUCAGCUUGUUAGUGGGGUAAUGGCCUACCAAGGCGGCGACGGGUAGCCGGCCUGAGAGGGUGGACGGCCACAUUGGGACUGAGAUACGGCCCAGACUCCUACGGGAGGCAGCAGUGGGGAAUAUUGCACAAUGGGCGGAAGCCUGAUGCAGCGACGCCGCGUGGGGGAUGACGGCCUUCGGGUUGUAAACUCCUUUCGACCGCGAGGAAGCCACCUGGUUGGAAGGGUGGUGACGGUAGUGGUAGAAGAAGCACCGGCUAACUACGUG
RNAcentral lists this ribosomal RNA (494 nucleotides) under uncultured bacterium. RNAcentral's name for it is "partial 16S ribosomal RNA". It matches the Rfam family "Bacterial small subunit ribosomal RNA", at positions 28 to 507 of the family's 1533-position model. The record is from RNAcentral.